Molecule: transfer RNA, 63 nt
Filed under: Pseudovates peruviana
Lineage: Eukaryota; Metazoa; Arthropoda; Insecta; Mantodea; Mantidae
Description: tRNA-Gly
Source: RNAcentral
AUUUAUUUAGUAUAAUAAGUACCCUUGACUUCCAAUCAAAAAGUCUAAUAUUUAGAAUAAAUA